AGUGAACGCUGGCGGUAGGCCUAACACAUGCAAGUCGAACGGCAGCACAGUAAGGCUUGCUCUCUAGGUGGCGCGUGUCGGGCGGGUGAGGGAUACACCUGAAUCUCCCCAGUCGUGGGGGAUAUCGCGGGGAAACUUACGCUCUUACACCAUACGCCCUUCGGGGGAGAAAGGAGGAUCGCUUGACCUCUCGCGCUUUUGUAUGCCCCGAUGUCGGAUUAGCUAGUUGGCGGGGUAAGGGCCCACCAAGGCGACGAUCCGUAGCUGGUCUGAGAGGAUGAUCAGCCACACUGGAACUGAGACACGGUCCAGACUCCUACGGGAGGCAGCAGUGGGGAAUAUUGGACAAUGGGCGCAAGCCUGAUCCAGCCAUACCGCGUGGGUGAAGAAGGCCUUCGGGUUGUAAAGCCCUUUUGUUGGGAAAGAAAACGUUCAGGCUAAUACCCUGGGAGGAUGACGGUACCCAAAGAAUAAGCACCGGCUAACUUCGUG
RNAcentral lists this ribosomal RNA (492 nucleotides) under uncultured bacterium. RNAcentral's name for it is "partial 16S ribosomal RNA". It matches the Rfam family "Bacterial small subunit ribosomal RNA", at positions 29 to 507 of the family's 1533-position model. The record is from RNAcentral.